AUACGUAGGGUGCGAGCGUUAAUCGGAAUUACUGGGCGUAAAGCGUGCGCAGGCGGUUUUGUAAGGCAGUGGUGAAAUCCCCGGGCUCAACCUGGGAACUGCCAUUGUGACUACAAGGCUGGAGUGCGGCAGAGGGGGAUGGAAUUCCGCGUGUAGCAGUGAAAAGCGUAGAUAUGCGGAGGAACACCGAUGGCGAAGGCAAUCCCCUGGGCCGGCACUGACGCUCAUGCACGAAAGCGUGGGGAGCAAACAGGAUUAGAUACCCUGGUAGUCCACGCCCUAAACGAUGUCAACUGGUUGUUGGGAAUUUAUUUUCUCAGUAACGAAGCUAACGCGUGAAUUUGACCGCCUGGGGAGUACGGCCGCAAGGUUAAAACUCAAAUGAAUUGACGGGU
This 395-nucleotide ribosomal RNA is filed under the name uncultured bacterium. Its description in RNAcentral is "partial 16S ribosomal RNA". It matches the Rfam family "Bacterial small subunit ribosomal RNA", at positions 523 to 918 of the family's 1533-position model. The record is from RNAcentral.